UUGCAUCAUGAUUACAUUUGAGUGAGUGGCGAACUGGUGAGUAACACGUGGGAAACCUGCCCAGAAGCGGGGGAUAACACCUGGAAACAGAUGCUAAUACCGCAUAACAACUUGGACCGCAUGGUCCGAGUUUGAAAGAUGGCUUCGGCUAUCACUUUUGGAUGGUCCCGCGGCGUAUUAGCUAGAUGGUGGGGUAACGGCUCACCAUGGCAAUGAUACGUAGCCGACCUGAGAGGGUAAUCGGCCACAUUGGGACUGAGACACGGCCCAAACUCCUACGGGAGGCAGCAGUAGGGAAUCUUCCACAAUGGACGAAAGUCUGAUGGAGCAACGCCGCGUGAGUGAAGAAGGGUUUCGGCUCGUAAAACUCUGUUGUUAAAGAAGAACAUAUCUGAGAGUAACUGUUCAGGUAUUGACGGUAUUUAACCAGAAAGCCACGGCUAACUACGUGCCAGCAGCCGCGGUAAUACGUAGGUGGCAAGCGUUGUCCGGAUUUAUUGGGCGUAAAGCGAGCGCAGGCGGUUUUUUAAGUCUGAUGUGAAAGCCUUCGGCUCAACCGAAGAAGUGCAUCGGAAACUGGGAAACUUGAGUGCAGAAGAGGACAGUGGAACUCCAUGUGUAGCGGUGAAAUGCGUAGAUAUAUGGAA
RNAcentral lists this ribosomal RNA (647 nucleotides) under Lactiplantibacillus plantarum. Its description in RNAcentral is "bacterial SSU rRNA". It matches the Rfam family "Bacterial small subunit ribosomal RNA", at positions 67 to 703 of the family's 1533-position model. The record is from RNAcentral. Lineage: Bacteria; Bacillati; Bacillota; Bacilli; Lactobacillales; Lactobacillaceae.